Molecule: ribosomal RNA, 250 nt
Filed under: uncultured bacterium
Lineage: Bacteria
Description: partial 16S ribosomal RNA
Rfam family: Bacterial small subunit ribosomal RNA
Source: RNAcentral
UACGUAGGCAGCGAGCGUUGUUCGGAGUUACUGGGCGUAAAGAGUGCGUAGGCGGUUUUCCAAGUCUGGUGUGAAAUCUCCCGGCUCAACCGGGAGGGUGCGCUAGAAACUGGGAGACUGGAGUACGGGAGAGGUAGGCGGAAUUCCUGGUGUAGCGGUGAAAUGCGUAGAUAUCAGGAGGAACACCGGUGGUGUAGACGGCCUGCUGGACCGUAACUGACGCUGAGGCACGAAAGCGUGGGGAGCAAAC